UUGGUUGUAAAGCACUUUAAGCGAGGAGGAGGCUCCUUUAGUUAAUACCUAAAGAGAGUGGACGUUACUCGCAGAAUAAGCACCGGCUAACUCUGUGCCAGCAGCCGCGGUAAUACAGAGGGUGCGAGCGUUAAUCGGAUUUACUGGGCGUAAAGCGUGCGUAGGCGGCUUUUUAAGUCGGAUGUGAAAUCCCUGAGCUUAACUUAGGAAUUGCAUUCGAUACUGGANAGCUAGAGUAUGGGAGAGGAUGGUAGAAUUCCAGGUGUAG
RNAcentral lists this ribosomal RNA (268 nucleotides) under gamma proteobacterium LM2505. RNAcentral's name for it is "partial 16S ribosomal RNA". It matches the Rfam family "Bacterial small subunit ribosomal RNA", at positions 419 to 678 of the family's 1533-position model. Lineage: Bacteria; Pseudomonadati; Pseudomonadota; Gammaproteobacteria. The record is from RNAcentral.